RNAcentral lists this ribosomal RNA (915 nucleotides) under uncultured archaeon. RNAcentral describes it as "bacterial SSU rRNA". It matches the Rfam family "Archaeal small subunit ribosomal RNA", at positions 1 to 922 of the family's 1478-position model. The record is from RNAcentral.
UUCCGGUUGAUCCUGCCGGAGGCUACCGCUAUUGGAGUUCGAUUAAGCCAUGCGAGUCGAGAGUCUUAGGGACUCGGCGCACCGCUCAGUAACACGUGGGUAACCUGCCCUAUGCUGGGGAAUAACCUCGGGAAACUGAGAAUAAUGCCCCAUAGCCCACUACGCCUGGAACGGUGAGUGGGUCAAAGCUCCGGCGGCAUAGGAUGGGCCUGCGCCGUAUCAGGUUGUAGGGGGUGUAAAGUACCCUCUAGCCAUCAACGCGUACGGGUGUUGGGAGACAUUGCCCGGAGAUGGAUUCUGAGACACGAAUCCAGACCCUACGGGGUGCAGCAGGCGCGAAAACUUGGCAAUGCGAGCAAUCGUGACCAGGGAACUCCAAGUGCGUAGGGUAAGACCUACGCUUUUCUUGACUCUUCAAAGGUCUUGGAAUAAGGGGUGGGUAAGGACGGUGCCAGCCGCCGCGGUAAUACCGGCGCCUCAAGUGGUAGUCGCUUUUAUUGGGCCUAAAACGUCCGUAGCCGGUCUGGUGCAUUCGUGGGUAAAUCAACCCGCUCAACGGGUUGAAUUCUGCGAGCACGGCCAGACUUGGGACCGGGAGAGGUGUGGGGUACUCUCAGGGUAGGGGUAAAAUCCUGUCAUCCUGAGAGGACCACCUGUUGCGAAGGCGCCACACUAGAACGGAUCCGACGGUCAGGGACGAAACCUAGGGGCACGAACCGGAUUAGAUACCCGGGUAGUCCUAGGUGUAAACGCUGUGGACUUGAUGUUGGGGGCGCUCCGAGCGCUUUCAGUGUCGAAGCGAAGGUGAUAAGUCCACUGCCUGGGGAGUACGGUCGCAAGGCUGAAACUUAAAGGAAUUGGCGGGGGAGCACUGCAACCUGAGGAUUGUGCGGUUUAAUUGGAUUCAACGCCGGG